This 253-nucleotide ribosomal RNA is filed under the name uncultured bacterium. RNAcentral's name for it is "partial 16S ribosomal RNA". It matches the Rfam family "Bacterial small subunit ribosomal RNA", at positions 524 to 776 of the family's 1533-position model. The record is from RNAcentral.
GACGAACCGUCCAACCGUUAUUCGGAAUCACUGGGCUUACAGAGUUCGUAGGCGGUCUGGAAAGUUGGGUGUGAAAUCCCUCGGCUCAACCGAGGAACUGCGCUCAAAACUGCCAGACUCGAGGGAGAUAGAGGAAAGCGGAACUGAUGGUGGAGCGGUGAAAUGCGUAGAUAUCGCUUGGAACGCCGACGGCGAAAGCAGUCUGCUGGGGGUGUGCUGACGCUGAGACACGAAAGCCAGGGGAGCGAACGGG